AUUGAACGCUGGCGGCAUGCUUUACACAUGCAAGUCGAACGGCAGCACGGGCUUCGGCCUGGUGGCGAGUGGCGAACGGGUGAGUAAUGCGUCGGAACGUGCCGAGUAAUGGGGGAUAACGCAUCGAAAAGGUGUGCUAAUACCGCAUACGCUCUGAGGAGGAAAGCGGGGGACCUUCGGGCCUCGCGUUAUUCGAGCGGCCGACGUCUGAUUAGCUAGUUGGUGAGGUAAUGGCUCACCAAGGCGACGAUCUCUAACUGGUUUGAGAGAAUGACCAGUCACACUGGAACUGAGACACGGUCCAGACUCCUACGGGAGGCAGCAGUGGGGAAUAUUGCACAAUGGGCGCAAGCCUGAUGCAGCCAUGCCGCGUGUGUGAAGAAGGCCUUCGGGUUGUAAAGCACUUUCAGCGGGGGAGGAAGGGCCACGUAGUUAAUACCUAGUGGGCAUUGACGUUACUCGCAGAAGAAGCACCGGGCUAACUCCGU
Molecule: ribosomal RNA, 488 nt
Filed under: uncultured bacterium
Lineage: Bacteria
Description: bacterial SSU rRNA
Rfam family: Bacterial small subunit ribosomal RNA
Source: RNAcentral